Molecule: long non-coding RNA, 540 nt
Organism: Hemiscyllium ocellatum (epaulette shark)
Lineage: Eukaryota; Metazoa; Chordata; Chondrichthyes; Orectolobiformes; Hemiscylliidae
Exons: 3
Source: RefSeq, a predicted model, not a curated record
UACAACUUCCUGACUCAAAUAAAUCAGAUCCUUUUGUAAAUUGUAGCUUUCGGAAAGCACACCUUCUGUUUAUGAAAUGGUCCAUUUCUACUGAAACGCGUUUUAUUUAUUUUGAAACGUCCUGCCACCCUCCUCCUUUGAGAGGCAAGAUAAGAAAAUGGCUUUAAUAACUGGGACUGAGAUGUAACUCGUUUAUUUUCUGAACAAAAAAAAAUUCAAGGCAGCGGUGGUCUGUGACACCUUUUAAGGGGCCGUGGAUUAAUGGUAAUCGGCCGGCGGCUGAUCCAAUUCGCCGAGGGAAAUGCAGCGUUGGCUUCGGGAAGGGUAAGAACAUGAAUCUAGAUGCGAGCAGAAGCUUACAGCUUUGAAGACCUCAGCUGGAACAUCAUCAGGUCCACAGGCUUUGAACUUUUUUAUGCAUUUGAUUGGUUGUUGAAGCUCUCCAACUGAAUAUUAAACAGCCUAUAGCAGAAAGAGCCUCACGAGGAGGGAAAUCUGCCCCUUGCUGGAGAAGACUAGGACCGCUUCUUCAGGGAUGCU